This is an RNA transcript of Lolium perenne, 1286 nucleotides long. RefSeq lists it as uncharacterized. The record is from RefSeq and is a predicted model, not a curated record. NCBI's taxonomy places the organism in Eukaryota, Viridiplantae, Streptophyta, Magnoliopsida, Poales, Poaceae.
GUCGUCGAGAAACAGCACCGAGAAAGAAAAUCCCCAAAUCGAGAGCACUGCCUCCUCGCCCAAGAUCGCCGUCGGUGGGCGCGGGUGAGUAGGCGGAGCUCGAGCAUCCGCGGCGGCCGGAGACCAGGAGGAGGAAGGUGCUCGAGCGUCUAAGGCGGGGUUUCCGUCCUUCCGUCUCCGUGGGGGACCUGCGCGCGGCGGAGCGGGUGCAACUGUUGUGGGUACAGACUGGUCCUUUUGAUCUGUGCUUCGAGGUUGCGAAGUGGCGGCCACGGCGGCUAUGGACGGAACAAGCAGUGGCAGCGGUAAAGGGAAAGAUGAGAAGAAGGUGGCGGCAGCGUGCGAUGUGGAGGCGCUACGCAAGUGCCUGCAGGAGAACAACGGUGAUCGUAUAAAGUGCCAGGCCCACAUCGACGCCUUCCGAUCCUCAUGUUCUAUCAGCCCUAACACCACCUCCUCCGCCUCCAAGGUACAAAAGAAUGCAUGAAAUGGCCAGAUGUGCUUUUGCUGGUGAAGAUGCACAAUACACAUACUGGAACACUGAGAUGUGGAUGGUCAAGUGAAAUUUGGAAGUUGAGAAAAAUGUCAACUUUAGAGUUGCAGGGUAGUGCCUUUUGUUUUCUUUUGUCGACUGCUAUGGCAGUUUUUAGUGCCGAAAGAACCAUUGGUAAAACUGUGAAACUCGUUGUGAUUUCUUUGCCAAGAAUGAGAAUAUGGAGGAUAACUUUUGCAAUCACCAUUCUCUUCAGUGAGUAACGUUUUGGUAGCUGUUUCAAAGUUUUGAGUCUCAGGUUUAGCCUACCAUGGUAUAACGUUCUGGAUGUAGACACCUGAUUCAACGAAACUAUCAGUUAAACCAGCCUUCUUUCUUUUUCCACUUUGGUUACCGAUUUGCUUGAGUAAAAUGGUUAAAAGUGAUUCUGCUCACCUCAACCCUAUUGUGGUUUUUUUCGUCCAGAGAGCUAUGGUCUCUGGCCAGAAAUAUAUUAAUUGUUUAGAAGGUGUGUUUUCUCACUUACGAACCGUACACUAAUUCUUAAUUUUACCAGAGGUCCAGCAGAGGACAAAAUAAUCUCAAUUGAUUUCUUUUGCUUCUUGAUUGCAUUUCGCUCUUUUGGUGAAGAGUGAGCGCUGGAGUUGAAGAUGGAGGUAAUUAGCAGGUAGGGGUAUGAGCGAGGACGGGGUCUUUACUGGCCCUGCUACUUUGUAUGUUGGAAGAGCGGAGCCAUUCAGUAGCUAAUCAAGCCAGUGUAUGAUGCUGAGGCACGCAGGUUGUAUUUACAGAA